This 24-nucleotide non-coding RNA is filed under the name Arabidopsis thaliana (thale cress). The record is from RNAcentral. Lineage: Eukaryota; Viridiplantae; Streptophyta; Magnoliopsida; Brassicales; Brassicaceae.
UUGAUAAUCUAUCUGUCAGGCUGA